RNAcentral lists this transfer RNA (57 nucleotides) under Carex uncinioides. RNAcentral describes it as "partial tRNA-Phe". It matches the Rfam family "tRNA", at positions 1 to 55 of the family's 71-position model. From Rfam's summary of the family: Transfer RNA (tRNA) molecules are approximately 80 nucleotides in length. Their secondary structure includes four short double-helical elements and three loops (D, anti-codon, and T loops). Further hydrogen bonds mediate the characteristic L-shaped molecular structure. tRNAs have two regions of fundamental functional importance: the anti-codon, which is responsible for specific mRNA codon recognition, and the 3' end, to which the tRNAs corresponding amino acid is attached (by aminoacyl-tRNA synthetases). tRNAs cope with the degeneracy of the genetic code in two manners: having more than one tRNA (with a specific anti-codon) for a particular amino acid; and 'wobble' base-pairing, i.e. permitting non-standard base-pairing at the 3rd anti-codon position. Lineage: Eukaryota; Viridiplantae; Streptophyta; Magnoliopsida; Poales; Cyperaceae. The record is from RNAcentral.
GUCGGGAUAGCUCAGUCGGUAGAGCAGAGGACUGAAAAUCCUCGUGUCACCAGUUCA